UACGUAGGCAGCAAGCGUUGUUCGGAGUUACUGGGCGUAAAGGGUGUGUAGGCGGUUGUUUAAGUUUGGUGUGAAAUCUCCCGGCUCAACUGGGAGGGUGCGCCGAAUACUGAAUGACUUCGAGUGCGGGAGAGGAGAGUGGAAUUCCUGGUGUAGCGGUGAAAUGCGUAGAUAUCAGGAGGAACACCGAUGGCGAAGGCAGGUCUCUGGGCUGACACUGACGCUCAUGCACGAAAGCGUGGGGAGCAAACAGG
Molecule: ribosomal RNA, 254 nt
Filed under: uncultured bacterium
Lineage: Bacteria
Description: partial 16S ribosomal RNA
Rfam family: Bacterial small subunit ribosomal RNA
Source: RNAcentral